Nicrophorus vespilloides is the source of this 753-nucleotide long non-coding RNA. RefSeq lists it as uncharacterized. The transcript has 2 exons. NCBI's taxonomy places the organism in Eukaryota, Metazoa, Arthropoda, Insecta, Coleoptera, Silphidae. The record is from RefSeq and is a predicted model, not a curated record.
UUUUUUGCGUGUGUGUUGGGGGAUGGAUGAGAUAGGAUUCGCCCCCUCAUCCAUGUCAAACUGAUGGAUACCUGCUGCGGAAUUAUGAAUUUCAAUUGCAAUAUCACGCAGGUGAUCCCAACUGGUCCGGAAUGGAAAUUGCACAUUUGCAUGUUGCAUAUUUCGCUGUAGCUACUAUCGUGUUAUGACUUUGACUAAGUGGAUGAUGCUCUCUCCCUCGUCCUCCUCUAACACACAUCUCUCUCUCUCUCUCCCUAUCUCUUUUCUACUCACGCAUUUAGAUUGUUAUGGGGGGCGGCUGUGAAAACGGCGGUGGUGGCGGCAGCAGGAUUGCAAUUUCGUGCGACAUUUGUUGUCCGCGCAGUUCCCUAAAAUUUAAUUUCGACGGCCGCUCUAAUUGAAUUUGCUUUGACUCGACUCUAUCGUCCUCUUAUUUCUUUUCUUGCAGGAUCAAGCGGAACGCGAACGCGGCCCCAAGAAGCAGAAGUUGGCCUGCUGCGAUUCCAAGGAAGCGACCGCAGGACCGGUUUCCAUGAAAUGUCUGAAGAAGUACAAGCAUUUGGUACAUUUUGAUUGGUUGUGCGAGAAUGAGAUGGUCGCUGUUGAGGUGACGCCCAUGUCUUUGCUGGAGCAACUUCCACCUGCCUUCAAGAGGAAUCAAUUCGGAGCGAAAUAGUUGUUGUUUUUUUUUUAUAUAACUCAUAAUAUAACACUUACGUCCUAACUUCAGAAAAUAAAUAUGUUGUUUUUAAA